CACAGUGGAGCUAGCUAGCAAUGUAAGCUAUCAUUCUGCAACUCACAGGCACCGGAGUGUGUGUAUGGAUGUGAUUUGAAUGUAACUGAAGGAAUGUGCACUUUGCAGCAACUUUGAUGCAACUGUGAACAUCAUCAUCAUGGCUUCGAGCUUCGCCCCACCGAAACUGGCUGAUUUCAUUCUCACUGAGAGGCUGGGCAGUGGCACCUAUGCGACAGUUUACAAAGCUUACAGAAAGGGGGACAACCGGGAGGUGGUGGCAGUGAAGGUGGUUGGGAAGAAGACUCUGAACAAGGUGUCUAUGGAGAACCUGCUGACUGAGAUAGAGAUCCUGAAAACUGUUCGCCACCCUCACAUUGUUCAGCUGAAUGACUUCCAGUGGGACAGUGAAAACAUCUAUCUGAUCCUGGAGUGGUGUUCUGGUGGGGACCUGUCCCGUUUCAUCCACAGUAGGCGCUUGCUACCUGAGAGGGUGGCUCGGCUCUUCCUGCAGCAGAUAGCCUGCGCUCUUCAGUAUCUCCAUAAUCAUAACAUCUCCCAUCUGGACCUGAAACCCCAGAACAUUCUGCUCAGUGGUUCUGUCCUUAAACUAGCAGGUACAGCACACUGCCAAGUGCCACAAUCACACUUACAUACAGUAUUCCUUAUGGUCACAUUUCAAUCCUUAUUAAUCUAUUGCAUUUCUUCACCAUGGAACUGUGAUAUGAAUCAUAGUUGCGAAAUCAUAGCAGUGCCAAUAUGCCAGAGGUUAUUGGUGGCAUCGUCUCUGCACUUUUCAGUUGUGACGUUUAAAAUGAUGGAAUGCAACAGUUGCACCACUGAAUCAUGCAUUAGAGGAUUUUGUAAUGCUGCUACAAGUAUUACCAGGUGUAUCACAGUCUUGACUGAGGCUAGUCUAGUGCACUUUGCACUGAAACAUUUUUGCCCUAUGCUGUUGUAAGAUUUUGGCUUUGCGAGUUACAUGUCUCCGUGGGAUGAGCAGAGUGCUCUGAGGGGCUCUCCUCUCUACAUGGCCCCUGAGAUGGUGUGUCGAAGGCAGUAUGACUCCAGGGUCGACCUCUGGUCUGUGGGAGUCAUCCUGUAUGAGACACUAUUUGGCCGUGCACCAUUUGCCUCCAGAUCCUAUGCUGAACUGGAGGAGAAGAUCCGCAGUGACAAGCCCAUCGAGGUAAGCUCUGUUACAUCUAUCUAAAGAAAUGUGUGGUAGCAAUGAUUGUUCAUUCUGUGACUGCUGUUAGAAGAAUCAUUCUUUCCCCUGUGAGUAUAUUUGCCACCGCAGGGUGGCACACUUGCUCAAUAAACCUUAUCUCACAGUGCUUUCUUGUUGGAAGGGACACUCCUGUGCCAGAGUGGGUUCUACAGUCUCCUCCUCAAUCCAGUGGUCAGGACAGAGUGUAAUUAGUUGGAAGAUAGAAAUAAUUUAUUAGACAAUUAAAAAUAUAUAUAUAACUCCAGCCACAAGUGGAUACGCUACAUUUAAAAUCAUCAAGGAUAACACAAUAUAUGUUUUGCAACUUCUUAUAAAAUCAUUGUGGUCCUCUGGUUGUGUUGUGUGUCCCAGCUGCCUGCAGGGGCCAGAGUGUCCAGGAACUGCAGGGACUUACUGCUGCGGCUUCUGGACAGGGACCCUGACACCCGCCUCACCUUCACUCAGUUCUUCUCCCACCCCUGGGUGGACCUCGAGCACAUGCCCAACGCAGAGAGCCUGGGGAAAGCGAAGGAUCUGGUCCUGAAAGCUGUUCAGAAGGACCAGGAGGGGGAUAGAUCAGCUGCUCUGUCUCUGUACUGCAGCGCACUGGAGCACUUUGUCCCCGCCAUUCACUAUGAGACAGACAGACUGCGUAAAGAUGCCCUUAGGCAAAAGGUUAGUCAGUACGUGUCCAGGGCAGAGGAGCUGAAAGCUCUGGUGUCUGCAGACAACAACCUCUGCUUUGAGCAGUUCAAGUCCACCAGAGACAUCCUGAGAGGGAACCUUCGUAAGGACUUGAUAACACAUUCAUAAGACCCAGAAGGAGCACGUUAUCAAGUGUAACUGGGUAUUGAAGUACCUAGAGGAGAUGUUCUGAGAAGGCCUCCGGUCCAACCCUUACUCUCUGUCUGUCCCCCUCUCAGAGAUGUCCCGAGACCAACCACGGGUGCUGGCUGCUCUGGAGCUGGCAUCUACAGCCAUCGCCAUGGAGGAGAAUGGGAUAGAGGACCAUGAUACACUGGCUCUGUACCAGCAGAGUCUGGGAGAACUACUGCUAGCCCUGGCAGCUGAAGCCCAGGGGCGCCGGAGAGAGCUGCUCCAUGGUGAGAUCAAGAGCCUAAUGACCAGAGCUGAAUACCUCAAAGAACAGAUCAAGAUGCUGGAGACCCAAAAAGAUGUGUCAAUGGACAGAGAGCCUCUAUCAGAAUCUGUGAGAAGUUCAUGCUGUGUGCAGUGAGCCAGCCUGGCAGUAGGAACCAGAGAGAGGGGCCAUCGUGCCUGCGGAGCACCAGACCUCCUGCACCUCUACGGGUCAGGCUAAGGAAUCCCUCAGGCCUCUGAGACCAUGGCCUCAGUAGUCUCGCGUCACCCUACUCGUAAGUCUCAAUCAUCGCACGGCUGUUGUUUCCCAACAAACAUGAGAAAGCCUGGAAAUGGAGGCAAUGGCGUCAGAGACAAUCUACCCUGUUAUUACUCUGCCUGGACUUCAACUAGCAGCUUGUCAGCCUUGCAUCCCCCUCACCAACACAACACAGAAGACUGUCACAGUCUCGAGUCACUGCUUCAGCCUCAAAGCCCUCCUGCCUAAGCAUUCAUAUGGAAAGGCUGGACAGCUUGUAUGCUAAUACUGUACUGUCAUGAUAAACUAGUGCUUUAUCAUGUUGUUGUGUUAUGUUGCAGGAUGAAUAAGAGUAAUAAUGAGCCUCAAAUGCUUGUAGUUGCACAAUAGAUGGCGACUUGAACUCAGAAUGGCUACCCAGCAUAGCAAGUUUGUAGUCUGUAACUGAUGGGAGUUAUCGAAAUGUAUCAUUAAUAUUUGGGAAAGCUCUUCUGGCGUCUGUCGCCCCACAUACACACACACACGCGCCUGCGCACACACACAAACAAACUAAAUCCAUUUUCUGUGGCCUGACCACAGUCUCACCACGCUCUCUCUGCUGAUGGAGCAGCCUCUACCACUAUGAGAGGAAAACUGGAGAGGUGCGGCUGCUGCCUUAUUUACUCUGUAGACUUUCAUUUACUUUUGGGUUGGCACCGGUCAGGAUGAAGGCAUACAGUAGCAACUGUGAAGUCAUGGCGUGCUUCACAACUCAGCCUGCUUUAGUAGCCUGCCAAAAGGUUGGACAUUUGGUGACAGGUUAACAGUUACUGCUGUUGUGGGUCUUUUCCUUUCUGUUUGAUUUCAGUGAGCCAGGUUGUGUGCAUGAAUCUACUUUCAAGGGAACUUUCAAUAUUUGUGAAUAUACUGUACCAUAGGAGGUGAUCUGCUGUUUAAUCAGGAAAUGGAAUGGUGUAACUGAAAAGGACUGGAUUGGAAAGAAAUGUCUGUCGAAUUGAGAACUGACAAUUGUGUAUUGUUUUUGUUGAAACAUUUUGUAUGGGUAUGAUUUUAUAAAUUAUUUAUUACCGUAAAAGGCUGAUUCAAUUGAAAUAAAAAUGUAAUGUGUUGUCAUGGCCUGUAUUCGUAAAUUAAAGUGCCUUUGGAAAAUAUUCA
Oncorhynchus kisutch (coho salmon) is the source of this 3683-nucleotide RNA transcript. It is a transcript of the gene named unc-51 like kinase 3, with no coding region annotated. The transcript is spliced from 15 exons. NCBI's taxonomy places the organism in Eukaryota, Metazoa, Chordata, Actinopteri, Salmoniformes, Salmonidae. The record is from RefSeq and is a predicted model, not a curated record.